This 627-nucleotide ribosomal RNA is filed under the name Trichromostroma enteroxanthum. Its description in RNAcentral is "eukaryotic LSU rRNA". It matches the Rfam family "Eukaryotic large subunit ribosomal RNA", at positions 23 to 667 of the family's 3401-position model. Lineage: Eukaryota; Fungi; Ascomycota; Sordariomycetes; Xylariales; Diatrypaceae. The record is from RNAcentral.
ACCCGCUGAACUUAAGCAUAUCAAUAAGCGGAGGAAAAGAAACCAACAGGGAUUGCCCUAGUAACGGCGAGUGAAGCGGCAACAGCUCAAAUUUGAAAUCUGGCCCUCGGGUCCGAGUUGUAAUUUGUAGAGGAUGCUUUUGGUGAAGUGCCUUCCGAGUUCCUUGGAACAGGACGCCUUAGAGGGUGAGAGCCCCGUACGGUUGGACACUAAGCCUCUGUAAAGCUCCUUCGACGAGUCGAGUAGUUUGGGAAUGCUGCUCUAAAUGGGAGGUAAAUUUCUUCUAAAGCUAAAUACCGGCCAGAGACCGAUAGCGCACAAGUAGAGUGAUCGAAAGAUGAAAAGUACUUUGAAAAGAGGGUUAAAUAGCACGUGAAAUUGUUGAAAGGGAAGCGUUUAUGACCAGACCUUUGUCUAGCGGAUCAUCCGGUGUUCUUCACCGGUGCACUUCGCUAGGCUUAGGCCAGCAUCGAUUUCUGUAGGGGGAUAAAGACCAUGGGAACGUAGCUCUCUCCAGGGGAGUGUUAUAGCCCUAGGUGUAAUACCUUUACGGGGAUCGAGGUUCGCGCUUCUGCAGAUGCGAUGCUGGCGUAAUGGUCAUCAACGACCCGUCUUGAAACACGGACC